AGUGAACGCUGGCGGUAGGCCUAACACAUGCAAGUCGAACGGCAGCACAGUAAGAGCUUGCUCUUACGGGUGGCGAGUGGCGGACGGGUGAGGAAUACAUCGGAAUCUACUUUUUCGUGGGGGAUAACGUAGGGAAACUUACGCUAAUACCGCAUACGACCUACGGGUGAAAGCAGGGGAUCUUCGGAACUUGCGCGAUUGAAUGAGCCGAUGUCGGAUUAGCUAGUUGGCGGGGUAAAUGCCCACCAAGGCGACGAUCCGUAGCUGGUCUGAGAGGAUGAUCAGCCACACUGGAACUGAGACACGGUCCAGACUCCUACGGGAGGCAGCAGUGGGGAAUAUUGGACAAUGGGCGCAAGCCUGAUCCAGCCAUACCGCGUGGGUGAAGAAGGCCUUCGGGUUGUAAAGCCCUUUUGUUGGGAAAGAAAAGCAGCAGGUUAAUACCCCGCUGUUCUGACGGUACCCAAAGAAUAAGCACCGGCUAACUUCGUG
This 492-nucleotide ribosomal RNA is filed under the name uncultured bacterium. RNAcentral's name for it is "partial 16S ribosomal RNA". It matches the Rfam family "Bacterial small subunit ribosomal RNA", at positions 29 to 507 of the family's 1533-position model. The record is from RNAcentral.